CGGAGGAUCCAAGCGUUAUCCGGAAUCAUUGGGUUUAAAGGGUCCGUAGGCGGGUUAGUAAGUCAGUGGUGAAAGCCCAUCGCUCAACGGUGGAACGGCCAUUGAUACUGCUAGACUUGAAUUAUUAGGAAGUAACUAGAAUAUGUAGUGUAGCGGUGAAAUGCUUAGAGAUUACAUGGAAUACCAAUUGCGAAGGCAGGUUACUACUAAUGGAUUGACGCUGAUGGACGAAAGCGUGGGUAGCGAACAGGAUUAGAUACCCUGGUAGUCCACGCCGUAAACGAUGGAUACUAGCUGUUGGGAGCGAUCUCAGUGGCUAAGCGAAAGUGAUAAGUAUCCCACCUGGGGAGUACGUUCGCAAGAAUG
This 366-nucleotide ribosomal RNA is filed under the name uncultured organism. Its description in RNAcentral is "bacterial SSU rRNA". It matches the Rfam family "Bacterial small subunit ribosomal RNA", at positions 526 to 896 of the family's 1533-position model. The record is from RNAcentral.